GUCUUUUUCUGCCUUCUGGUGGUCGUGGGAUGAAGGCCCCCAAGUCUUCAUCUUUGGCCGCUCUCCUUAUAAGGCAUAUCUCUAUUAGCACAGCUGGAGAGAAGAAGAAGAGGCUGCUGUGGAGAAAGCUUUUAGCUAAACCCAGAAAGUUUGGAAGAAAAACGAAUGGAUACCAGCAAGAUUGUGUCACAAAUGCUACAGAAAGCAUCACAUGGAAAGAAACCAAAGUUCCUCUUUUAUUACACACACCCAUGUCAACAGCCACUGUUAUAACCCAUCCAAAUUAAGAACCUGUAGGCAAAAUGGAGAAAAUUAUUGGGUUACAAGAAAUUUAGGAAAAAGUGGUAAUAGAUUUGGAAUUGAAUGUCCAAAAGAAGAGAGAUGGAUUUGUUUUACAUUUAAUCUUAAAAGAUACGUUUCAAGAUUCAGUAAAAAAACAAAUAGUAAAUAAAAAGGUAAAACCAGCACAGCAAUUUAACUCUGUAUUGACUCCAAAAUAUAUGUUGAAUCGUAUUACGGGACUCCAAGCAGUUAUAGAAAUGAUAACAAAUAAAGCUGCCCAGGCAUUAGAGUUAAUAUCAAGUCAGCAAAGCCAAACAAAAACUGUAGUGUAUCAGAAUAGGUUGGCUUUAGACUAUUUAUUGGCUAAAAAAGGGGGUGUUUGUGGAAAGUUUAAUAUAUCAGAUUGUUGAAAAUUGAUGACCACAGAAAAGUCAUUCUAGAAAAAGCAAAAGAAAUCAAAGAAGGCAUAUAUAUAUAUAUGCAUAUAAUAACCCAGGUACCAGUCCAAAAAUUAGAAAACAAUGUUAAAACCUAGCUGAUGGUGUAAUGUAUUAGAAGAAAUUAAGAUCUUUCAUUUUAUGUGUUACAACUAUUUUUGUAUUUCUUCCUUGUGUAAUCCCCUAUUUUAUUUUGCCAGCAUAGUCAAGAAGAUGCAAGUAGACAAGAGAUAUUGCUCAAACCAAAUAAUUUGCAAAUAAUAAGAGUGGGGAUUGUGAAAAAUACAUGUAUUUUAUGAUUGGCUUUUUGCAAAUAUUAAAAUGAAUAUUAUAUGUGUUGUGUUAGAAAGUAAUGCUGUAUUAAUUCUCUUAAGUGCUGUGUUAAAUACAGUUUUGGGUUAUAAAAAUUGUUAAAAUAGAAACAAUGCUAUGUAGGAUACCUUUUUUAAAGAAAGGACUUGCAGCGAGAUAACAGCCACAGGACACCUAAAUCUUUCAGAGAAAAAGAAUUUAUUGCUCUCUUAUCAGAAGAAACAAACUACUUCCUGCCUCGAAGGUGCUGUUAGGAUUCAGAGGAAGAAGUU
Zonotrichia leucophrys gambelii is the source of this 1303-nucleotide long non-coding RNA. RefSeq lists it as uncharacterized. NCBI's taxonomy places the organism in Eukaryota, Metazoa, Chordata, Aves, Passeriformes, Passerellidae. The record is from RefSeq and is a predicted model, not a curated record. The transcript is spliced from 3 exons.